Molecule: ribosomal RNA, 301 nt
Filed under: uncultured bacterium
Lineage: Bacteria
Description: partial 16S ribosomal RNA
Rfam family: Bacterial small subunit ribosomal RNA
Source: RNAcentral
CAGCCGCCGCGGGAAUACGUAGGGUGCGAGCGUUAAUCGGAAUUACUGGGCGUAAAGCGUGCGCAGGCGGUUCGUUAAGACAGAUGUGAAAUCCCCGGGCUUAACCUGGGAACUGCAUUUGUGACUGGCGAGCUAGAGUAUGGCAGAGGGGGGUAGAAUUCCACGUGUAGCAGUGAAAUGCGUAGAGAUGUGAGGAAUACCGAUGGCGAAGGCAGCCCCCUGGGCCAAUACUGACGCUCAUGCACGAAAGCGUGGGGAGCAAACAGGAUUAGAUACCCCCGUAGUCCCUGUCUCUUAUACA